Long non-coding RNA from Magnolia sinica, 447 nucleotides. RefSeq lists it as uncharacterized. The transcript is spliced from 6 exons. NCBI's taxonomy places the organism in Eukaryota, Viridiplantae, Streptophyta, Magnoliopsida, Magnoliales, Magnoliaceae. The record is from RefSeq and is a predicted model, not a curated record.
CCAUGACUUAUUAUAUUUCAACCAGGAAAUGAUACUUGCCAGCCAUGAUAUCUCAGUGGGCAAUGACACAAAAGAGAAGUGUUUCUUGUAUGAUAUUGUUGCAAAUGGUCGAACUGGAAUAGAUGUUGACAAGUUUGACUAUAUUAAACGAGAUUGCCGAACUUGUGGCCUUGGUUGCAAUUUUGAAUUUCAAAGGUUAAUGGAAUGCAUGCGGGUGAUAGAUGAUGAAAUAUGCUCUCAUGCCAAGUAGUAUCUUACAGUCCACAAACUGUUUACCACCCGGGCUGAUCUCUAUCGAACAGUAUAUACGCAUGCCAAAGUUAAGGCAAUGGAGUUCAUGUUUGUAGAUGCACUUCUAAAAGCAAACGGUUUUCUGAAAAGAAGAGUUUUAGAGAUUGAGGUUGAAGGAAUUCAUACUCCUACCUCUUCAACACAAGUAAUAUGCAU